UACGUAGGGGGCAAGCGUUGUCCGGAUUUAUUGGGCGUAAAGAGCGUGUAGGCGGCCAUGUAGGUCCGUUGUGAAAACUCGAGGCUCAACCUCGAGACGCCGAUGGAAACCAUGUGGCUAGAGUCCGGAAGAGGAGAGUGGAAUUCCUGGUGUAGCGGUGAAAUGCGCAGAUAUCAGGAAGAACACCCGUGGCUAAGGCGGCUCUCUAGUACGGUACUGACGCUGAGACGCGAAAGCCAGGGGAGCGAACGGG
This 253-nucleotide ribosomal RNA is filed under the name uncultured bacterium. RNAcentral's name for it is "partial 16S ribosomal RNA". It matches the Rfam family "Bacterial small subunit ribosomal RNA", at positions 524 to 776 of the family's 1533-position model. The record is from RNAcentral.